Molecule: ribosomal RNA, 350 nt
Filed under: Fusarium proliferatum
Lineage: Eukaryota; Fungi; Ascomycota; Sordariomycetes; Hypocreales; Nectriaceae
Description: partial 18S ribosomal RNA
Rfam family: 5.8S ribosomal RNA (bases 104-257)
Source: RNAcentral
CUCGGCGGAUCAGCCCGCUCCCGGUAAAACGGGACGGCCCGCCAGAGGACCCCUAAACUCUGUUUCUAUAUGUAACUUCUGAGUAAAACCAUAAAUAAAUCAAAACUUUCAACAACGGAUCUCUUGGUUCUGGCAUCGAUGAAGAACGCAGCAAAAUGCGAUAAGUAAUGUGAAUUGCAGAAUUCAGUGAAUCAUCGAAUCUUUGAACGCACAUUGCGCCCGCCAGUAUUCUGGCGGGCAUGCCUGUUCGAGCGUCAUUUCAACCCUCAAGCCCCCGGGUUUGGUGUUGGGGAUCGGCGAGCCCUUGCGGCAAGCCGGCCCCGAAAUCUAGUGGCGGUCUCGCUGCAGCU